GCAAACAGGAGGCUGGGUCUCAGCAUGCACCGCAGCUCUCUCGUCCUCACUGCCUUCCUGGGACAGCUGCUGGAUGCCGUGGGGCAGACCAUUGUCAGCCAGCAAGAAGGACAGGUCACAGUGGAGGAGAGAAACACCUUCCAGACCACCUGCACUUACCAGGCCUCCAGCUUUUAUGGCUUGUUUUGGUACCAGCAGAAGAAAGGCCAAGCCCCCCAGCUGGUCACAUAUCACACAGCAGCAGGCUCCAAGCACAACGGCCGUUUCACCACGGGGCUGAACACCACUGGGAAAAACAGCCUCCCGCAGCUGGCAGAAGUCCAGCUGUCUGACAGCGCCUUGUACCUCUGUGCUGUGCAGGACACCCUGGUGCAGGGAGCUUCCUCGGCCGUGCAACAGCCCCAGUGAGGGAGGGGCUGUGUCUGUUGGAGGCGGAGCUCUGGGGAAGGGGCCCUCAGCUCUCCCCCGGCAGCGCUGCUUCCCCUGUGCGCACAGAGAUCUGCAGGUCAGCAUCCUCUUCCAGAUGGGAAGCACUCGCACCUGGAGCAAGCCCGACUGACGCCGGCGCAGGGCGCAGCCCCGGGGCGGAGCUGGCGGCGGCGGCGGGGAGGAGGCG
This is a non-coding RNA of Phasianus colchicus (ring-necked pheasant), 616 nucleotides long. NCBI's taxonomy places the organism in Eukaryota, Metazoa, Chordata, Aves, Galliformes, Phasianidae. The record is from the annotation of a RefSeq genome assembly.